CGUCGCAGCGCGGGAGGCUGGCGGAGAGAGCCUCGAGCGGGAGGCGCUGGUGCUUGCUGGCGAGCUUGUUGGCGGCGUGGAUCUCGACGUCGCAGCGCGCGCACAGCGCGGCCUCGUCGGCGCAGCACACCACGGUGGCAGCCGCGCCCUCGCACGCGUCGCACUGGAUCUUCAUGGCCGCUCCACCUCUCUGUCUGCGGUCUAUACUCCCAGGCCCAGCUCGCUAUCCUGUCCUGUCGUCUCGCAAGUCGCAACAACGAGGGAGGCAAGGACGAACAAGAUAAGGCCACCGACUGCGAUGGAGGAGGACGAGCUUGCGCGCGCGAGCACGCAACUGGAGCAAUCAGUGAGCUGCCGCUGCCGGGCGAGCUUGUGGUGGAG
RNAcentral lists this unclassified non-coding RNA (381 nucleotides) under Zea mays. Its description in RNAcentral is "misc RNA Zm00001eb184130". The record is from RNAcentral. Lineage: Eukaryota; Viridiplantae; Streptophyta; Magnoliopsida; Poales; Poaceae.